CGUACUCGUUCCACACUUUUAAAUACUCGAGUUUAGAUUGGGAAUCUUUUCGAGUUGUGCUUAUCACAGAGUUUUACUGGGAGGUUGGAUUGUAUACCGAGGAGAUUCCCAAUCUAUCUCUAGUAUUCAAAAGUGUACAACGCCUGGGGUAGACGAGUGCG
Molecule: non-coding RNA, 161 nt
Organism: Marchantia polymorpha subsp. ruderalis
Lineage: Eukaryota; Viridiplantae; Streptophyta; Marchantiopsida; Marchantiales; Marchantiaceae
Source: the annotation of a GenBank genome assembly